GUAUUGAUUGCGUGUGACCGCAAAGAUAACAUUCUACACUGUAUCAAAUUUUGUGUGAAAACGUGAGCUCGUUUUGCAAAAAGGAGACCCACGCGGUGAUGCACAAAGGGGUGAGAUGGAUGUGUGAGGGCACUCGGGCGUGCACAACCUUUUGAAAGGUUAGCGACAGCCCUUGCACCCCCGUUUUACGAUAAUGAUCCUUCCGCAGGUUCACCUACGGAAA
RNAcentral lists this unclassified non-coding RNA (223 nucleotides) under uncultured fungus. RNAcentral's name for it is "sequence contains ITS1". The record is from RNAcentral. Lineage: Eukaryota; Fungi.